This 243-nucleotide ribosomal RNA is filed under the name uncultured bacterium. RNAcentral describes it as "partial 16S ribosomal RNA". It matches the Rfam family "Bacterial small subunit ribosomal RNA", at positions 534 to 776 of the family's 1533-position model. The record is from RNAcentral.
GCAAGCGUUAUCCGGAAUUAUUGGGCGUAAAGGGCGCGUAGGCGGCUAUGCAAGUGACGGGUGAAAUCCCUCGGCUUAACCGAGGAACUGCCUGUCAGACUGCAUGGCUCGAGACCAGGAGAGGUGAGUGGAAUUCCCAGUGUAGCGGUGAAAUGCGUAGAUAUUGGGAGGAACACCAGUGGCGAAGGCGGCUCACUGGACUGGUACUGACGCUGAUGCGCGAAAGCGUGGGGAGUAAACAGG